GAUGAACGCUGGCGGCGUGCCUAAUACAUGCAAGUCGAGCGAAUGGAUUAAGAGCUUGCUCUUAUGAGGUUAGCGGCGGACGGGUGAGUAACACGUGGGUAACCUGCCCAUAAGACUGGGAUAACUCCGGGAAACCGGGGCUAAUACCGGAUAACAUUUUGAACCGCAUGGUUCGAAAUUGAAAGGCGGCUUCGGCUGUCACUUAUGGAUGGACCCGCGUCGCAUUAGCUAGUUGGUGAGGUAACGGCUCACCAAGGCAACGAUGCGUAGCCGACCUGAGAGGGUGAUCGGCCACACUGGGACUGCGACACGGCCCAGACUCCUACUGGAGGCAGCAGUAGGGAAUCUUCCGCAAUGGACGAAAGUCUGACGGAGCAACGCCGCGUGAGUGAUGAAGGCUUUCGGGUCGUAAAACUCUGUUGUUAGGGAAGAACAAGUGCUAGUUGAAUAAGCUGGCACCUUGACGGUACCUAACCAGAAAGCCACGGCUAACUACGUGCCAGCCGCCGCAGUAA
RNAcentral lists this ribosomal RNA (515 nucleotides) under uncultured bacterium. RNAcentral describes it as "partial 16S ribosomal RNA". It matches the Rfam family "Bacterial small subunit ribosomal RNA", at positions 28 to 523 of the family's 1533-position model. The record is from RNAcentral.